UGCAUAGGAUAAUCAGUCUUGGAACUUGCAAUGAAUGGAAGUAUUGAUUUGCUAAUAUGAAGUAAUUUGUGUGAUCUAAAUACAGUGCAUACAAUAUGUGCAAAUUGAUUCCAGUUAAUCAUUUUUGACUGUUCUCCUAAAUCUUGCUGCUGACCUAGACAUACAUGAACAACUCUAAAAAUAGGUAUAACCUGUGAACUGCAAGGAGGUGUGCAAAACAUUGUGUGUAUGAAGAUUCUGAAAGUCAUGAGAAGUUCCUGACAGAAGAGCAAGAAGCUUCAUUUGUACUCAGGCACUCCAGACAAAGGAAUAUCCAUGUGUUCUCCAUUGUUCCCUUCUGCCCUGGUACCACUGAGUCCUUCUGGCUGCUGCUCUGCCUUCUGGAAUAAGAAUACUUUAGGUUCACCCUGGCCACUGCAGCAGCUUCUCAGAAUUGUGAUUCUAUCAAAAUAAAGGACUGUUUUCUCA
Long non-coding RNA from Parus major (Great Tit), 468 nucleotides. RefSeq lists it as uncharacterized. The transcript is spliced from 3 exons. The record is from RefSeq and is a predicted model, not a curated record. NCBI's taxonomy places the organism in Eukaryota, Metazoa, Chordata, Aves, Passeriformes, Paridae.